This 186-nucleotide unclassified non-coding RNA is filed under the name Anaerococcus prevotii. RNAcentral's name for it is "partial 16S-23S ribosomal RNA intergenic spacer". Lineage: Bacteria; Bacillati; Bacillota; Tissierellia; Tissierellales; Peptoniphilaceae. The record is from RNAcentral.
UCGGAAGGUGCGGCUGGAUCACCUCCUUUCUAAGGAUGAGAAGCUGAUACGUCAGCUUCUCACGUGAGAUUUUUAUCUCUUAGAAAUAAAAAAAAUCUCAAGGUAAACUUUGGAUAUUCUAUAUAAUAUUUCAAAACCGAACCAACAAAACUAAAUAGCAAAAAAUAUUUCCAGUCAAGAAAGAAA